GACGAACCGUGCGAACGUUAUUCGGAAUCACUGGGCUUAAAGGGUGCGUAGGCUGCGUGGAGGGUGGGGUGUGAAAUCCCUCGGCUUAACCGAGGAAUUGCGCUCCAAACCGCCUUGCUGGAGUGAGACAGAGGUGAGCGGAACUAAUGGUGGAGCGGUGAAAUGCGUUGAUAUCAUUAGGAACACCAGAGGCGAAGGCGGCUCACUGGGUCUCAACUGACGCUGAUGCACGAAAGCUAGGGUAGCGAACGGG
This 253-nucleotide ribosomal RNA is filed under the name uncultured bacterium. Its description in RNAcentral is "partial 16S ribosomal RNA". It matches the Rfam family "Bacterial small subunit ribosomal RNA", at positions 524 to 776 of the family's 1533-position model. The record is from RNAcentral.